AGAGACAGAGACAGAGACAGAGACAGAGACAGAGACAGAGACAGAGACAGAGACAGAGACAGAGACAGAGACAGACACAGAGACAGAGACAGAGACAGAGAGAGAGAGAGAGAGAGAGAGAGAGAGAGAGAGAGAGAGAGACAGAGACAGAGACAGAGACAGAGACAGAGACAGAGACAGAGACAGAGAGAGAGAGAGAGAGAGAGAGAGAGAGAGAGAGAGAGAGAGAGAGAGAGAGAUUGCAGAUGCUCUUGCCCCGGUGUCUCAUCCCUCUGUGUCGACCAUGUUUCCCUGUGUAAAUAAUUAAACUGCUGAACCAAACAGCUAACAGGACGCAAACACACACACAGCUGAACCUCACAGACGGACAGAGCUAAAAGGCCACACCUUUCUACAACAGUAAUAAGCCUGCCCCAUUAGCAAGCAUUACACACAUUAAUCUCAAUGACACACACACACACAAUCACAAAAACACACAGAGAGAGAGAUUUACAGGCACUCACUAAACAGAGAUGGUCAAGAACCUGAGCCCUAGGACCAUACGUCAGGACUACCGGGCAUGCUGACACCUUGCUGUCCCCAGUCCGCCUGGCCUUGCUGCUAUUCCAGUUUCAACUGUUCUGCCUGCGGUUACGAAACCCCUACCUGUUCCAGACCUGCUGUUUUCAACUCUUAAUGAUCGGCUAUGAAAAGCCAACUGAGAUUUAUUCCUGAUUAUUAUUUGACCAUGCUUGUCAUUUAUGAACAUUUUGAAAAUCUUGGCUCUCUCUAAUUUUCUCCUUCUCUCUUUCUUUCUCUCGGAGGACCUGAGCCCUAGGACCAUACGUCGGGACUACCGGCCGUGGUGACUCCUUGCUGUCCCCAGUCCGCCUGGCCUUGCUGCUAUUCCAGUUUCAACUGUUCUGCCUGCGGUUAUGGAACCCCUACCUGUCCCAGACCUGCUGUUUUCAACUCUUAAUGAUCGGCUAUGAAAAGCAAACUGAGAUUUAUUCCUGAUUAUUAUUUGACCAUGCUUGUCAUUUAUGAACAUUUUGAAAAUCUUGGCUCUCUCUAAUUUUCUCCUUCUCUCUUUCUUUCUCUCGGAGGACCUGGUCCCCAGGACCAUGCGUCGGGACUGCCGCCCGUGGUGACUCCUUGCUGUCCCCAGUCCGCCUGGCCUUGCUGCUAUUCCAGUUUCAGCUGUUCUGCCUGCGGUUAUGGAAUCGCCACCUGUCCCAGACCUGUUGUUUUUCAACUCUUAAUGAUCAGCUAUGAAAAGCCAACUGAAAAUUAUUCAUGAUUAUUAUUUGACCAUGCUUGUCACUUAUGAACAUUUUUGAACAUCUUGGCAUAGUUCUGUUAUAAUCUCCACCCGGCACAGCCAGAAGAGGACUGGCCACCCCUCAUAGCCUGGUUCCUCUCUAGGUUUCUUCCUAGGUUUUGGCCUUUCUAGGGAGUUUUUCCUAGCCACCGUGCUUCUACACCUGCAUUACUAGCUGUUUGGGGUUUUAGGCUGGGUUUCUGUACAGCACUUCGAGAUAUUAGCUGAUGUACGAAGGGCUAUAUAAAAUAAAAUUGAUUGAUUGAUUGAUUUAUUCUAUUCUAUUGAGCCAUUUACUUUAUGUUCAUAUUCUUAUCUUUUAUUAUUUCUUAUUGUUGUCGCAUUGUCGAGAAAGAACCUGCAAGUAAGCAUUUCGACGGUGUAUACCAUGUGUAUCCUGUACAUAUGACUAAUAAAACAUGAAACUUG
Molecule: long non-coding RNA, 1729 nt
Organism: Salvelinus fontinalis (brook trout)
Lineage: Eukaryota; Metazoa; Chordata; Actinopteri; Salmoniformes; Salmonidae
Exons: 2
Source: RefSeq, a predicted model, not a curated record